AUCAUCUCUAGGUGCCUGAAGACUUUCAAAUGCCCUCAGCCUUCUAAAGGUCCCUGAACCAUUCCACAUGGGCAUUUCUUUAUGGGUGUGUGGUUGUCUCAUACUCUUAUGAAGUUUAGUCAAGAUCAUCUGAGGAUGCCAAGUCUAGACUACAGCCCACAUACCCACGGAUGAGUGCCAACGGUCAGUAGAGGCCUCUAACCUCUUCUGCUAUUAGUACGUUAUCUUCAGUCUGCAUAUACUGUAACAUGUUCCUCAACAGCAUCCAAACACUGACAAAAUAGACAGAUUCUUCACAUCCUGAGAUGCCCCAAAUAAUCCAUAUGUUAGGACAACCACAUCUUUGUCGAGCGGGUCAAUGUAAUAAUGGGAACUGGGCUUUAUUAUGAAAGAGAAAAAUCUUGUGUUUGGCUAUGGAACUUUCUAUUUCAGAAUGGAACCUCUCCAUCUCGCCUUCCAGGAGAGGUCCCCCGAGCCCACCUGCAAAGAGAGAGACAGAGGCAUUACAAACCAAGAAGGAUUUUUGCUCAGUGCACAAGGUCACUCCUUCCUUUGUAGGAUUUACAGAAAAACUCCCUUGAAAGCAGAAUUAAAUCUUCUGAGGUCAGCUUUAGUUUAUCCAAGCGAGAAAGUUAAAGCUCAAACUGAGGAUUUUCUGGACAAUUAAGCUGUAAAAUAGCGUUACUAAAAUGAAGUUCUUCACUUGCACAUCUAAGUUCUGCAUGGUCUUUUCAUACAUAGCAGUCUGACUUAGCCCCUCAGAAAGGGACAAGAAACAGAAUCCAACCCACUAACUUAAGCAGAAAAAAAUUAUUAAAGGCUUUUGAAUAGUUCACGGAACGUCCAGAAGUGGGGAUAACCAGGAUUGGAGGCUGUGACUGCAAGGAAAAUAUGUCCAAAAUUCUGCCACCCAUCUGGGCUUGUGAAGAUGCCCUUGCUACAGUCACUGGGCACAGACAUGGCCCCUCACACUGUUCUUGGACCCUGGAUGCUGUUAGAACCAUUACCUCCACACUUCUGGAAACUGGCUGUAGUAGCGCUAUUCACACGAGAAUGGAUUCCACCCAGGACUGCCUCUUUGCAUCAUUAGUUCCUGAGUCAAAAUCUUGUGUGGAUAAGGAAGCAUUCUCUGAGAGAGCAACUUAAUCAUGGAACCCAAACAGAGUGGCCAAGUUCGAAUUUAAAAACAUAUCCCUCUGGCUUCAAGGCCAUACUUUUUCUAGUCUACCGUAUUGUUUCCAUUUAUGCUGCCUUGACCUGUUUAGAAGCAAAGAAGGGAUGGCAUUGAUGGUGACAAGUCCCUACUCCCGAAUCAGCUCUGGAUGAAAUUCCAAUAGGACCAACUGAUGAGAAGUCUACUGCGUGAACGAAGGGAAGUGUUCACAUGUGUCUGCAUGGGGAUUUAUCACAUUUCAUUUAAGUCUGUUAAAUGGUAAAAAGAUUUCAGUCCUUUGUAAC
This 1458-nucleotide long non-coding RNA is filed under the name Equus caballus (horse). RNAcentral describes it as "lncRNA (ENSECAG00000053591.1)". The record is from RNAcentral. Lineage: Eukaryota; Metazoa; Chordata; Mammalia; Perissodactyla; Equidae.